GUUUUACCAACAUCAACCAUUGAAAUAAGUAAAAUUAGAAAAUGUAUUUAUAAACACACUGUAAAUUUAACAAAUCAUCAGAAAUUCGAAAAUGGUACAUAUCAAUAUAAAGGAAUAUUAAUACCACCCGAAAGUCAAACUCUCUAUGAUACACACUAUUUCUUGGGAAAUCAGAGAUCGGUUGCCGAGCAUGUGAGAGGUUGUGUUUGUGAUCAACAUCCUUGCCUCAAAUUGUGUUGCUCCGAGGAUGAGUAUUUCAAUGAAACGAGUGAAAAGUGUGAAAAAUUAAUGACGAAUAUAAAAGUGCUUUGGGAAAUACUAAUAGAAAAGUAUAUUGGUAAAUAUAAGAAUGUGAAUAUUUUGAAGGAUUUUACCACUGUCAAAUAUGACAAUUGCUGGGAACCGAAGACAUUGACUAAGAUUGCAGGCAAUUGGACAUUUUCUGUGUUUUCUUUUUCCCAGGACGGAUUCUUACGAACAAAUGAUGGUAUUCUGGACAUUUCUGAAUUUUGUUUCUCACCAAGUUUGAUGGAUAAUUAUAUAUAUAUAUUGAAACCAUAUACAUGUCGCUUACUCGACGAUGGAUCCAGGAAAAAAAUAAUACAUGAAUACAGCCUAUAUGUAUCGGUUUUCUUUCAAGUACCCACCCUCUUGUUGUACAUAGUCUUACAAGAACUAAGGAAAAGUCUGGCUGGUAAAAUAUUUUUUUGUUAUCUUUUCUCGAUGACAAUGGGUAAUGUCAUGUUUUGUUUGCUAAUAAUAUUCCGUUUGCUAUUUAAUGCUAUAGUACUUCUUA
Calliphora vicina (urban bluebottle blowfly) is the source of this 796-nucleotide long non-coding RNA. RefSeq lists it as uncharacterized. Lineage: Eukaryota; Metazoa; Arthropoda; Insecta; Diptera; Calliphoridae. The record is from RefSeq and is a predicted model, not a curated record. The transcript is spliced from 3 exons.